RNAcentral lists this ribosomal RNA (387 nucleotides) under Agaricomycetes sp. RNAcentral describes it as "partial small subunit ribosomal RNA". It matches the Rfam family "Eukaryotic small subunit ribosomal RNA", at positions 582 to 975 of the family's 1831-position model. The record is from RNAcentral. Lineage: Eukaryota; Fungi; Basidiomycota; Agaricomycetes.
AUUCCAGCUCCAAUAGCGUAUAUUAAAGUUGUUGCAGUUAAAAAGCUCGUAGUUGAACUUCAGACCUGGCCGGGCGGUCUGCCUCACGGUAUGUACUGUCUGGCUGGGUCUUACCUCUUGGUGAGCCGGCAUGCCCUUUACUGGGUGUGUCGGGGAACCAGGACUUUUACCUUGAGAAAAUUAGAGUGUUCAAAGCAGGCCUAUGCCUGAAUACAUUAGCAUGGAAUAAUAAGAUAGGACUUUGGCGUCUAUUUUGUUGGUUUGCACACCAAGGUAAUGAUUAAUAGGGAUAGUUGGGGGUAUUCGUAUUUAAUUGUCAGAGGUGAAAUUCUUGGAUUUAUGAAAGACGAACUUCUGCGAAAGCAUUUACCAAAGAUGUUUUCAUCA